This 253-nucleotide ribosomal RNA is filed under the name uncultured bacterium. Its description in RNAcentral is "partial 16S ribosomal RNA". It matches the Rfam family "Bacterial small subunit ribosomal RNA", at positions 524 to 776 of the family's 1533-position model. The record is from RNAcentral.
GACAGAGGGUGCAAACGUUGUUCGGAUUUACUGGGCGUAAAGCGCGUGUAGGCGGCUUUGCAAGUCGGAUGUGAAAGCCCACGGCUCAACCGUGGAAGUGCAUCCGAAACUGCAUGGCUCGAGUCUCGGAGAGGAAGGUGGAAUGCUUGGUGUAGAGGUGAAAUUCGUAGAUAUCAAGCAGAACACCUGCGGCGAAGGCGGCCUUCUAGACGAUGACUGACGCUGAGACGCGAAAGCGUGGGGAGCAAACAGG